AUUGAACGCUGGCGGCAGGCCUAACACAUGCAAGUCGAGCGGAUGAAGGGAGCUUGCUCCUGGAUUCAGCGGCGGACGGGUGAGUAAUGCCUAGGAAUCUGCCUGGGAGUGGGGGAUAACGUCCGGAAACGGGCGCUAAUACCGCAUACGUCCUGAGGGAGAAAGUGGGGGAUCUUCGGACCUCACGCUAUCAGAUGAGCCUAGGUCGGAUUAGCUAGUUGGUGGGGUAAAGGCCUACCAAGGCGACGAUCCGUAACUGGUCUGAGAGGAUGAUCAGUCACACUGGAACUGAGACACGGUCCAGACUCCUACGGGAGGCAGCAGUGGGGAAUAUUGGACAAUGGGCGAAAGCCUGAUCCAGCCAUGCCGCGUGUGUGAAGAAGGUCUUCGGAUUGUAAAGCAAUUUAAGUUGGGAGGAAGGGCAGUAAGUUAAUACCUUGCUGUUUUGACGUUACCAACAGAAUAAGCACCGGCUAACUUCGUG
This 484-nucleotide ribosomal RNA is filed under the name uncultured bacterium. RNAcentral describes it as "partial 16S ribosomal RNA". It matches the Rfam family "Bacterial small subunit ribosomal RNA", at positions 30 to 507 of the family's 1533-position model. The record is from RNAcentral.